Molecule: ribosomal RNA, 495 nt
Filed under: uncultured bacterium
Lineage: Bacteria
Description: bacterial SSU rRNA
Rfam family: Bacterial small subunit ribosomal RNA
Source: RNAcentral
AUUGAACGCUGGCGGCAUGCCUUACACAUGCAAGUCGAACGGUAACAGGUCUUCGGAUGCUGACGAGUGGCGAACGGGUGAGUAAUACAUCGGAACGUGCCCGAUCGUGGGGGAUAACGGAGCGAAAGCUUUGCUAAUACCGCAUACGAUCUACGGAUGAAAGCAGGGGACCGCAAGGCCUUGCGCGGACGGAGCGGCCGAUGGCAGAUUAGGUAGUUGGUGGGAUAAAAGCUUACCAAGCCGACGAUCUGUAGCUGGUCUGAGAGGACGACCAGCCACACUGGGACUGAGACACGGCCCAGACUCCUACGGGAGGCAGCAGUGGGGAAUUUUGGACAAUGGGCGCAAGCCUGAUCCAGCCAUGCCGCGUGCAGGAUGAAGGCCUUCGGGUUGUAAAGCUCUUUUGUCCGGAAGAAAGCGCCGGGUUAAUACCCUGGUGUCCUGACGGUACGGAAGAAUAAGCACCGGCUAACUUCGUGCCAGCAGCCGCGGUAA